GAUGAACGCUGGCGGCGUGCCUAAUACAUGCCAGUCGAGCGAACGGACGAGAAGCUUGCUUCUCUGAUGUUAGCGGCGGACGGGUGAGUAACACGUGGAUAACCUACCUAUAAGACUGGGAUAACUUCGGGAAACCGGAGCUAAUACCGGAUGAUAUUUUGAACCGCAUGGUUCAAAAGUGAAAGACGGUCUUGCUGUCACUUAUAGAUGGAUCCGCGCUGCAUUAGCUAGUUGGUAAGGUAACGGCUUACCAAGGCAACGAUGCAUAGCCGACCUGAGAGGGUGAUCGGCCACACUGGAACUGAGACACGGUCCAGACUCCUACGGGAGGCAGCAGAAGGGAAUCUUCCGCAAUGGGCGAGAGCCUGACGGAGCAACGCCGCGUGAGUGAUGAAGGUCUUCGGAUCGUAAAACUCUGUUAUUAGGGAAGAACAGAUGUGUAAGUAACUGUGCACAUCUUGACGGUACCUAAUCAGAAAGCCACGGCUAACUACGUG
This 497-nucleotide ribosomal RNA is filed under the name uncultured bacterium. RNAcentral describes it as "partial 16S ribosomal RNA". It matches the Rfam family "Bacterial small subunit ribosomal RNA", at positions 28 to 507 of the family's 1533-position model. The record is from RNAcentral.